Molecule: unclassified non-coding RNA, 861 nt
Filed under: Bombus terrestris (buff-tailed bumblebee)
Lineage: Eukaryota; Metazoa; Arthropoda; Insecta; Hymenoptera; Apidae
Description: misc RNA ENSBTSG00005023199.1
Source: RNAcentral
CGGAAAAGGUGAUGGGAGAGGAGGGCAGGACAGAGCAGAAAGAGGUGAACAAAACGCAGUAUGGAAGGGAGAGAAGGUCGGAGAGCGAGAGAGAAAGCGGGCGCGAGGCUCGUCGUCGCCGUCGUCGUUCGUCGCGGUGAAAAUCUCUAAACGAGCAGCGGUUGCCUGACCUGACACAGUACGUAGCAGUCGACAGGGCCGUAUUUUCCAUGUGCUGGAAACUACCAGCGCAAAAUUGAGAGGGCUCGCUGUGGGAGCCAUUUGGAGUUCACUAACCGUGGAAAUGGCACGAGUACUCGAUGCAACGUUGCGACGACGUGACGCCACGGAGCACGUGGAAAAAGGGGCGAAUGCCUUUCGAAGAUGCAUCCCCUCUUGACUGCACUUCAUUUUUCCCUCUUUUAAAAUAUAUUCUUUCCGAGGGAAGUCGCGGCAGCCCGUUUGCGUCUCUAAGUGCCACCGAUCUUACUCCUCGCCCCUGCCUUUAUUUAUUUGUCCUUUUCCCGGGAAGGUUUCUCUUACCUCCGUAUUUUUAUCAAAUUCGCGUUCCAAAACGCUUUCUUAAAAGUGCUUUACGAUGUUGGAUCGGUCUCGCCGGAUCCCUGUAGUAACCUUCCCGACAAUAGUGACAGUGUCUUCCUGCUGUAAAAUGCCGGCACUGCAGACAAACGCCUCCGCUGACACGACCCGACAGCUUGUAUAGUUCCAUGUUGAAUCUGCACUUUCUUGCAUGGAGAUUGCAGUUGCAUUCUGAAACAGAUACACGUCCGAUUAGAUGACUAACCGGUCCUUCCAUUUUGCUGAAGCAAUUUUGCUUUCCGAAACAGUUUAACCUCGUAUUACAAUUAAGUGGACAUUGGA